CCGCGUCCAGCGCGGUGACCAGCGCGGCGACGUCCUCGGCGUGGCGGGCCAGGCCCCACGGGCCGGGCAGGUCGCGGCUGGCGGCCCGGCC
This 91-nucleotide transfer RNA is filed under the name Kitasatospora phosalacinea. RNAcentral describes it as "tRNA-Glu". Lineage: Bacteria; Bacillati; Actinomycetota; Actinomycetes; Kitasatosporales; Streptomycetaceae. The record is from RNAcentral.